CAAGACAUAACAUCUGGGAUGUAAUUCACUUACACUGAAAUAUAGAGUUGUUCAAUUCAACUUGUCAUGA
This 70-nucleotide transfer RNA is filed under the name Pista cristata. RNAcentral's name for it is "tRNA-Val". The record is from RNAcentral. Lineage: Eukaryota; Metazoa; Annelida; Polychaeta; Terebellida; Terebellidae.